CCUACGGGAGGCAGCAGUGAGGAAUAUUGGUCAAUGGCCGAGAGGCUGAACCAGCCAAGUCGCGUGAGGGAAGAAUGUCCUAUGGAUUGUAAACCUCUUUUGUCAGGGAGCAAAGUCACCCACGUGUGGGUGUUGGAGAGUAUCUGAAGAAUAAGCAUCGGCUAACUCCGUGCCAGCAGCCGCGGUAAUACGGAGGAUGCGGGCGUUAUCCGGAUUUAUUGGGUUUAAAGGGUGCGUAGGCGGGUUAUCAAGUUAGAGGUAAAAUCUUGGGGCUCAACCCCAUCCAGCCGUUGAUACUGAUGAUCUUGAGUGUGCGAGAGGUAUGCGGAAUGCGUGGUGUAGCGGUGAAAUGCAGAGAGAUCACGCAGAACUCCGAUUGCGAAGGCAGCAUACCAGAGCACAACUGACGCUGAAGCACGAAAGCGUGGGUAUCGAACAGGAGUAGAUACCCGAGUAGUC
Molecule: ribosomal RNA, 459 nt
Filed under: uncultured bacterium
Lineage: Bacteria
Description: partial 16S ribosomal RNA
Rfam family: Bacterial small subunit ribosomal RNA
Source: RNAcentral